CUACGGGGUGCACCAGUGAGGAAUAUUGCACAAUGGGGGGAACCCUGAUGCAGCAACGCCGCGUGGAGGAUGACGCAUUUCGGUGUGUAAACUCCUUUUAUAUGUCAAGAAAAUGACGGUAGCAUAUGAAUAAGCACCGGCUAACUCCGUGCCAGCAGCCGCGGUAAUACGGAGGGUGCAAGCGUUACUCGGAAUCACUGGGCGUAAAGGACGCGCAGGCGGGUUGGAAAGUCAGGUGUGAAAUCCUACAGCUUAACUGUAGAACUGCACUUGAAACUUCUAAUCUAGAGUAUGGGAGGGGGAGAUGGAAUUAGUGGUGUAGGGGUAAAAUCCGUAGAUAUCACUAGGAAUACCUAAAGCGAAGGCGAUCUCCUGGAACAUUACUGACGCUAAGGCGUGAAAGCGUGGGGAGCAAACAGGAUUAGAUACCCCGGUAGUC
Molecule: ribosomal RNA, 439 nt
Filed under: uncultured bacterium
Lineage: Bacteria
Description: partial 16S ribosomal RNA
Rfam family: Bacterial small subunit ribosomal RNA
Source: RNAcentral